RNAcentral lists this ribosomal RNA (455 nucleotides) under Euastacus sulcatus. Its description in RNAcentral is "eukaryotic LSU rRNA". It matches the Rfam family "Eukaryotic large subunit ribosomal RNA", at positions 1160 to 1582 of the family's 3401-position model. Lineage: Eukaryota; Metazoa; Arthropoda; Malacostraca; Decapoda; Parastacidae. The record is from RNAcentral.
GGGAUGAACCAAACGUCGAGAUAAGGGGCCCAAACGAAUGCUCAUUCAGACCCCAUCGAAAGGCGUUGGUUGCUAUAGACAGCAGGACGGUGGCCAUGGAAGUCGGAAUCCGCUAAGGAGUGUGUAACAACUCACCUGCCGAAGCAACUAGCCCUUAAAAUGGUAUGGCGCUGAAGCAUUCUCCCGAUACUCGACCGCCGGGGCAGUAGCGGCCGCGUCCCAGAGGCGGGGUCUCGAAGCCCCGGUGAGUAAGAGGGCUGCAGUGGUGAGCGCUGAAGGGAUCCGGCGUGAGCCGGCCUGGAGCCGCCACUGGUGCAGAUCUUGGUGGUAGUAGCAAAUACUCGAGAGAGACUCCCUUGAAGACCGAUGUGGAGAAGGGUUCCAUGUGAACAUCAGUUGGACAUGGGUUAGUCGCUCCUAAGCCCGAGGCUAAGGCCUGAUCCCAUGCUAGCGGC